This 468-nucleotide ribosomal RNA is filed under the name uncultured bacterium. RNAcentral's name for it is "partial 16S ribosomal RNA". It matches the Rfam family "Bacterial small subunit ribosomal RNA", at positions 28 to 507 of the family's 1533-position model. The record is from RNAcentral.
GACGAACGCUGGCGGCGUGCUUAACACAUGCAAGUCGAACGGAAAGGCCCUGCUUUUGUGGGGUGCUCGAGUGGCGAACGGGUGAGUAACACGUGAGUAACCUGCCCUUGACUUUGGGAUAACUUCAGGAAACUGGGGCUAAUACCGGAUAGGAGCUCCUGCUGCAUGGUGGGGGUUGGAAAGUUUCGGCGGUUGGGGAUGGACUCGCGGCUUAUCAGCUUGUUGGUGGGGUAGUGGCUUACCAAGGCUUUGACGGGUAGCCGGCCUGAGAGGGUGACCGGGCACAUGGAGACAGAGAUACGGCCCGGACUCCUACGGGAGGGAGCAGUGGGGAAUAUUGCACUAUGGGCGGGAGCCUGAUGCAGCAACGCCGCGUGCGGGAGGACAGCCUUCGGGUUGUAAACCGCUUACGCCUGUGACGAAGCGUGAGUGACAGUAAUGGGUAAAGAAGCACCGGCUAACUACGUG